This 1107-nucleotide ribosomal RNA is filed under the name Trichoderma citrinum. RNAcentral's name for it is "eukaryotic LSU rRNA". It matches the Rfam family "Eukaryotic large subunit ribosomal RNA", at positions 22 to 1155 of the family's 3401-position model. Lineage: Eukaryota; Fungi; Ascomycota; Sordariomycetes; Hypocreales; Hypocreaceae. The record is from RNAcentral.
GUACCCGCUGAACUUAAGCAUAUCAAUAAGCGGAGGAAAAGAAACCAACAGGGAUUGCCCCAGUAACGGCGAGUGAAGCGGCAACAGCUCAAAUUUGAAAUCUGGCCCCUCUCGGGGUCCGAGUUGUAAUUUGUAGAGGAUGCUUUUGGCGAGGCGCCGCCCGAGUUCCCUGGAACGGGACGCCACAGAGGGUGAGAGCCCCGUCUGGCUGGCCGCCGAGCCUCUGUAAAGCUCCUUCGACGAGUCGAGUAGUUUGGGAAUGCUGCUCAAAAUGGGAGGUAUAUGUCUUCUAAAGCUAAAUACUGGCCAGAGACCGAUAGCGCACAAGUAGAGUGAUCGAAAGAUGAAAAGCACCUUGAAAAGAGGGUUAAAUAGUACGUGAAAUUGUUGAAAGGGAAGCGCUUGUGACCAGACUUGGGCGCGGCGGAUCAUCCGGGGUUCUCCCCGGUGCACUUCGCCGCGUCCAGGCCAGCAUCAGUUCGUCGCGGGGGAUAAAGGCUUCGGGAACGUGGCUCCCCCGGGAGUGUUAUAGCCCGUUGCACAAUACCCUGCGGUGGACUGAGGACCGCGCAUCUGCAAGGAUGCUGGCGUAAUGGUCACCAGCGACCCGUCUUGAAACACGGACCAAGGAGUCGUCUUCGUAUGCGAGUGUUCGGGUGUCAAACCCCUACGCGUAAUGAAAGUGAACGCAGGUGAGAGCUUCGGCGCAUCAUCGACCGAUCCUGAUGUUCUCGGAUGGAUUUGAGUAAGAGCAUACGGGGCCGGACCCGAAAGAAGGUGAACUAUGCCUGUAUAGGGUGAAGCCAGAGGAAACUCUGGUGGAGGCUCGCAGCGGUUCUGACGUGCAAAUCGAUCGUCAAAUAUGGGCAUGGGGGCGAAAGACUAAUCGAACCUUCUAGUAGCUGGUUUCCGCCGAAGUUUCCCUCAGGAUAGCAGUGUUGAGCUCAGUUUUAUGAGGUAAAGCGAAUGAUUAGGGACCAGGGGGCGCUAUAUUGCCUUCAUCCAUUCUCAAACUUUAAAUAUGUAAGAAGCCCUUGUUACUUAGUUGAACGUGGGCAUUCGAAUGUAUCAACACUAGUGGGCCAUUUUUGGUAAGCAGAACUGGCG